This 240-nucleotide unclassified non-coding RNA is filed under the name soil metagenome. Its description in RNAcentral is "partial contains 5.8S ribosomal RNA, internal transcribed spacer 2, and large subunit ribosomal RNA". The record is from RNAcentral.
AACAUCGCGCACCUGCGGGAACCUGCGGAGGGAUCAUUACCAAGCCGUGGAGGUCGCCCUGAAAGGGGUGGAUCUCUCACCUGGCCACCCUUGUUUACUUAAACACCUGUUGCUUUGGUGGGCCCGCUGUGAGGCCGCCCGGGGAACUCUUUUGAGUUUUUUGGGCCUGUGUCCACCAAGGUUUUAACUAAAUCUUCAAGGUCUUAUAUGCUGUCUGAGUGGGAAAACAUAAUUUAAAAA